CUAAGGCGAGGCCGAAAGGCGUAGUCGAUGGGAAAAUGGUUAAUAUUCCAUUACUUCUGUGUAAUGCGAUGAGAGGACGGAGAAGGCUAAAUCAGCCUGGCGUUGGUUGUCCAGGUGAAAGGAUGUAGGCAUGUAUCUUAGGCAAAUCCGGGGUACUCUAUGCUGAGAUCUGAUAGCAAGCUGUACUUGUACAGCGAAGUGGUUGAUGCCAUGCUUCCAGGAAAAGUCUCUAAGCUUCAGUUACACAGGAAUCGUACCCGAAACCGACACAGGUGGUCAGGUCGAGUAGACCAAGGCGCUUGAGAGAACUCUGCUGAAGGAACUAGGCAAAAUGGUACCGUAACUUCGGGAGAAGGUACGCUGUUGUUGGUGAUGGAACUCGCUUCCUGAGCUGACGACAGCCGCAGAAACCAGGCCGCUGCAACUGUUUAUUAAAAACAUAGCACUCUGCAAACACGAAAGUGGACGUAUAGGGUGUGAUGCCUGCCCGGUGCUGGAAGGUUAAUUGAUGGGGUUAGCGUAAGCGAAGCUCUUGAUCGAAGCCCCAGUAAACGGCGGCCGUAACUAUAACGGUCCUAAGGUAGCGAAAUUCCUUGUCGGGUAAGUUCCGACCUGCACGAAUGGCAUAAUGAUGGCGGCGCUGUCUCCAGCAGAGGCUCAGUGAAAUCGAAAUCGCUGUGAAGAUGCAGUGUACCCGCGGCUAGACGGAAAGACCCCGUGAACCUUUACUGCAGCUUGACACUGAACUUUGACCUUACUUGUGUAGGAUAGGUGGGAGGCUUUGAAGCUGGAACGCUAGUUCCAGUGGAGCCGUCCUUGAAAUACCACCCUGGUAAUGUUGAGGUUCUAACUCUGUCCCGUGAUCCGGGACGAGGACCGUGUCUGGUGGGUAGUUUGACUGGGGCGGUCUCCUCCUAAAGAGUAACGGAGGAGUACGAAGGUGCGCUCAGCGUGGUCGGAAAUCACGCGUAGAGUAUAAAGGCAAAAGCGCGCUUAACUGCGAGACCCACAAGUCGAGCAGGUACGAAAGUAGGUCUUAGUGAUCCGGUGGUUCUGUAUGGAAGGGCCAUCGCUCAACGGAUAAAAGGUACUCUGGGGAUAACAGGCUGAUACCGCCCAAGAGUUCAUAUCGACGGCGGUGUUUGGCACCUCGAUGUCGGCUCAUCUCAUCCUGGGGCUGAAGCAGGUCCCAAGGGUAUGGCUGUUCGCCAUUUAAAGAGGUACGCGAGCUGGGUUUAGAACGUCGUGAGACAGUUCGGUCCCUAUCUACCGUGGGCGCUGGAAAUUUGAGAGGAUCUGCUCCUAGUACGAGAGGACCAGAGUGGACGAACCUCUGGUGUACCGGUUGUGACGCCAGUCGCAUCGCCGGGUAGCUAUGUUCGGAAGGGAUAACCGCUGAAAGCAUCUAAGCGGGAAGCCUACCUCAAGAUAAGAUUUCCCUAGGACUUUAUGUCCUCUAAAGAGCCGUUCGAGACUAGGACGUUGAUAGGUUGGAUGUGGAAGCAUAGUGAUAUGUGAAGCUGACCAAUACUAAUUGCUCGUGAGGCUUGACUAUACAACACCCA
Molecule: ribosomal RNA, 1565 nt
Filed under: Acinetobacter baumannii ZWS1219
Lineage: Bacteria; Pseudomonadati; Pseudomonadota; Gammaproteobacteria; Moraxellales; Moraxellaceae
Description: bacterial LSU rRNA
Rfam family: Bacterial large subunit ribosomal RNA
Source: RNAcentral